UGACAUGGAAGUGUAUUCCUUUUCAGGUC
RNAcentral lists this non-coding RNA (29 nucleotides) under Mus musculus (house mouse). Lineage: Eukaryota; Metazoa; Chordata; Mammalia; Rodentia; Muridae. The record is from RNAcentral.